CGCGUAGGUGGUUUGGUAAGCGAGAUGUGAAAGCCCCGGGCUUAACCUGGGAACGGCAUUUCGAACUGCCAGGCUAGAGUGUGGUAGAGGGUAGUGGAAUUUCCUGUGUAGCGGUGAAAUGCGUAGAUAUAGGAAGGAACACCAGUGGCGAAGGCGGCUACCUGGACCAACACUGACACUGAGGUGCGAAAGCGUGGGGAGCAAACA
This 207-nucleotide ribosomal RNA is filed under the name uncultured bacterium. RNAcentral's name for it is "partial 16S ribosomal RNA". It matches the Rfam family "Bacterial small subunit ribosomal RNA", at positions 568 to 774 of the family's 1533-position model. The record is from RNAcentral.